Molecule: long non-coding RNA, 218 nt
Organism: Ooceraea biroi (clonal raider ant)
Lineage: Eukaryota; Metazoa; Arthropoda; Insecta; Hymenoptera; Formicidae
Source: RefSeq, a predicted model, not a curated record
AAUUUAUACGUAAUAAAGAUAGUAGAGAUGAAAGUCAUCGAUGAGUCAGGAUGAAUAAUACGUAAAUGAAAAUUAAGAUUUUUUUCAAGAAAGUUUGCAACUAAUUGUAAAAGGAUUACGGUAAUGACGAGGAAGUACAGGCAUGUGCUAUGGGAUCCCUGGUAAUGGAAGUCUGCACCUAUCUUCUAGUUUGGUCGAGGAAUAGUAUAAGGGAAAAA